Molecule: ribosomal RNA, 253 nt
Filed under: uncultured bacterium
Lineage: Bacteria
Description: partial 16S ribosomal RNA
Rfam family: Bacterial small subunit ribosomal RNA
Source: RNAcentral
UACGAAGGGGACUAGCGUUGUUCGGAAUUACUGGGCGUAAAGCGCACGUAGGCGGAUUUGUUAGUCAGGGGUGAAAUCCCGGGGCUCAACCUCGGAACUGCCUUUGAUACAGCAAGUCUUGAGUUCGAGAGAGGUGGGUGGAAUUCCUAGUGUAGAGGUGAAAUUCGUAGAUAUUAGGAAGAACACCGGUGGCGAAGGCGGCCCACUGGCUCGACACUGACGCUGAGGUGCGAAAGCGUGGGGAGCAAACAGG